Long non-coding RNA from Cloeon dipterum, 460 nucleotides. RefSeq lists it as uncharacterized. The record is from RefSeq and is a predicted model, not a curated record. The transcript has 3 exons. NCBI's taxonomy places the organism in Eukaryota, Metazoa, Arthropoda, Insecta, Ephemeroptera, Baetidae.
AGCUUGACUAGCCCAUCCUAUUUCCUUCCCACCGGUUUCUACACAUUUCAAGCAACCUUGUUCGAAAAUGGAAACAUUUAUUUCGUCUACGGCGAUAUCCCAAAUGCGACGGAACCACACGCAUUUAAAGAUUUUGUCCACGUGGGCCUUUUCAACACUUUCAAGGACGAGACCUCGAAGAAACUUCGGAUCCAAAGGAACGAUUUGGGCGACAUGGACCGCUCUCGCAUUCAACCAGCAGCCGCGUUAUUCCUUUCGCCCAUACCUGCCUGCUGGAAUUAUAAAAAAUGUUUCGCCUGCACUUCUUCGAUGUUUCUGCAUUGUGCGUGGUGCCCGCAGGCCAGCUUGUGUUCUGACGCCUCGGACGGAUCAGACAACUCGUGGGUGGAGAGCGGAUGUCACAUCCGAAAUGUUACAGAAGGGCAAGAGUGCUCCCUCGGUUCGAGAGUGGAAAAUUGAU